Molecule: small nucleolar RNA, 137 nt
Filed under: Chlamydomonas reinhardtii
Lineage: Eukaryota; Viridiplantae; Chlorophyta; Chlorophyceae; Chlamydomonadales; Chlamydomonadaceae
Description: CrACA35a snoRNA
Source: RNAcentral
CGGCUUAGAGUCACUAACGCGACCCCCACAGUGGCGCGCCGGUGCUUGUGCUUGCCGAGAAGGUAUCCCAGCUAGCCGCCGGCAAGCAGUCUCUGCCUGUUUGUAUGGCAGACGCUCUACCGCCGGCUAGCACAUAC